Molecule: ribosomal RNA, 465 nt
Filed under: Vreelandella stevensii
Lineage: Bacteria; Pseudomonadati; Pseudomonadota; Gammaproteobacteria; Oceanospirillales; Halomonadaceae
Description: partial 16S ribosomal RNA
Rfam family: Bacterial small subunit ribosomal RNA
Source: RNAcentral
CCUACGGGAGGCAGCAGUGGGGAAUAUUGGACAAUGGGCGAAAGCCUGAUCCAGCCAUGCCGCGUGUGUGAAGAAGGCCUUCGGGUUGUAAAGCACUUUCAGUGGGGAAGAAAGCCUUGGGGCUAAUACCCUCGAGGAAGGACAUCACCCACAGAAGAAGCACCGGCUAACUCCGUGCCAGCAGCCGCGGUAAUACGGAGGGUGCGAGCGUUAAUCGGAAUUACUGGGCGUAAAGCGCGCGUAGGCGGUCUGAUAAGCCGGUUGUGAAAGCCCCGGGCUCAACCUGGGAACGGCAUCCGGAACUGUCAGGAUAGAGUGCAGGAGAGGAAGGUAGAAUUCCCGGUGUAGCGGUGAAAUGCGUAGAGAUCGGGAGGAAUACCAGUGGCGAAGGCGGCCUUCUGGACUGACACUGACGCUGAGGUGCGAAAGCGUGGGUAGCAAACAGGAUUAGAUACCCUUGUAGUC